GGGGAAUCUUGGACAAUGGGCGCAAGCCUGAUCCAGCCAUGCCGCGUGAGUGAUGAAGGCCCUAGGGUUGUAAAGCUCUUUCGCAGGUGAAGAUAAUGACGGUAACCUGAGAAGAAGCCCCGGCUAACUUCGUGCCAGCAGCCGCGGUAAUACGAAGGGGGCUAGCGUUGUUCGGAAUUACUGGGCGUAAAGCGCACGUAGGCGGAUUGUUAAGUUAGGGGUGAAAUCCCGGGGCUCAACCCCGGAACUGCCUCUAAUACUGGCAAUCUCGAGUCCGAGAGAGGUGAGUGGAAUUCCGAGUGUAGAGGUGAAAUUCGUAGAUAUUCGGAGGAACACCAGUGGCGAAGGCGGCUCACUGGCUCGGUACUGACGCUGAGGUGCGAAAGCGUGGGGAGCAAAC
RNAcentral lists this ribosomal RNA (400 nucleotides) under uncultured bacterium. RNAcentral's name for it is "bacterial SSU rRNA". It matches the Rfam family "Bacterial small subunit ribosomal RNA", at positions 356 to 773 of the family's 1533-position model. The record is from RNAcentral.